GGGCGAGGGUCUCCUCUGAGUGAUUGACUACCCGUCAGCGGGGGUCUUUCAUUUGGGGGCUCGUGCCC
This 68-nucleotide unclassified non-coding RNA is filed under the name Murine leukemia virus. RNAcentral describes it as "RNA (68-MER) from Murine leukemia virus (PDB 2MQT, chain A)". Lineage: Riboviria; Pararnavirae; Artverviricota; Revtraviricetes; Ortervirales; Retroviridae. The record is from RNAcentral.